ACUGGGUCUUCUUAGAGUCGGGUUGCUUGGGAAUGCAGCCCAAAGCUGGUGGUAAACUCCAUCUAAGGCUAAAUACCGGCACGAGACCGAUAGUCAAGAAGUACCGUAAGGGAAAGUUGAAAAAAACUUUAAAGAGAGG
Trachemys scripta elegans is the source of this 139-nucleotide long non-coding RNA. RefSeq lists it as uncharacterized. The transcript is spliced from 3 exons. The record is from RefSeq and is a predicted model, not a curated record. Lineage: Eukaryota; Metazoa; Chordata; Testudines; Emydidae.